Molecule: transfer RNA, 73 nt
Filed under: Canis lupus familiaris (dog)
Lineage: Eukaryota; Metazoa; Chordata; Mammalia; Carnivora; Canidae
Also listed under: 1 other name
Rfam family: tRNA
About the family: Transfer RNA (tRNA) molecules are approximately 80 nucleotides in length. Their secondary structure includes four short double-helical elements and three loops (D, anti-codon, and T loops).
Source: Rfam by way of RNAcentral
GCCCGGCUGGCUCAGUUGGUAGAGCCUGUGAUUCUUGAUCUCGGGGUUGUGAGUUCGAGCCCCAUGUUGGAUG